UGUUAAAAAAUUCAUCCAUUUCUACGGUUAAAAACUAGAAUGUUUGACGAAACAACUAAACAAUUACAUAUGGUAUGUCACAUGUACCUUAUGCUAACAUAUAGGGACUAGGUUUUAACAAUAAAAAUGGAUGAAACUUUUAAUG
Non-coding RNA from Gossypium raimondii (Peruvian cotton), 145 nucleotides. Lineage: Eukaryota; Viridiplantae; Streptophyta; Magnoliopsida; Malvales; Malvaceae. The record is from Rfam.